GAUGAACGCUGGCGGUGUGCCUAAUACAUGCAAGUCGAGCGAACAGACGAGGAGCUUACUCCUCUGACGUUAGCGGCGGACGGGUGAGUAACACGUGGAUAACCUACCUAUAAGACUGAGAUAACUUCGGGAAACCGGAGCUAAUACCGGAUAACAUGUUGAACCGCAUGGUUCAACAGUGAAAGACGGUCUUGCUGUCACUUAUAGAUGGAUCCGCGUCGCAUUAGCUAGUUGGUAAGGUAACGGCUUACCAAGGCAACGAUGCGUAGCCGACCUGAGAGGGUGAUCGGCCACACUGGAACUGAGACACGGUCCAGACUCCUACGGGAGGCAGCAGUAGGGAAUCUUCCGCAAUGGGCGAAAGCCUGACGGAGCAACGCCGCGUGAGUGAAGAAGGUCUUCGGAUCGUAAAACUCUGUUAUUAGGGAAGAACAAAUGUGUAAGUAACUAUGCACGUCUUGACGGUACCUAAUCAGAAAGCCACGGCUAACUACGUG
RNAcentral lists this ribosomal RNA (497 nucleotides) under uncultured bacterium. RNAcentral describes it as "partial 16S ribosomal RNA". It matches the Rfam family "Bacterial small subunit ribosomal RNA", at positions 28 to 507 of the family's 1533-position model. The record is from RNAcentral.